GCCGGGUGCGGUGGCAUGUGCCUGUAAUCCAAGUCACUGGGAGGCUGAGGUUGGUGGAUCAAGUGAGCUGAGGAGCUCUGGGCUGCAGCACUGUAAUGUCGAACGGGUGUCCACGCUAAGUUCGGUAUCGAUAUGGUGUUCCAGGGGGAGCCCGGGACCACCAGGUUGUCUAAGGAGGGGUGAACCGUGCUAGGUUGGAAACGAAGCAUGUAAAUCCCCCGUGCUGUCCAGUAGUGGGAUAAUACCUGUGAGUAGAUGCUGCAGUGCAGCCUUGGCAAAACAUUGAGACCUAAUCUUUU
RNAcentral lists this signal recognition particle RNA (299 nucleotides) under Oncorhynchus mykiss (rainbow trout). RNAcentral describes it as "Metazoan signal recognition particle RNA (ENSOMYG00000063218.1)". It matches the Rfam family "Metazoan signal recognition particle RNA". Rfam says of the family: The signal recognition particle (SRP) is a universally conserved ribonucleoprotein. It is involved in the co-translational targeting of proteins to membranes. The record is from RNAcentral. Lineage: Eukaryota; Metazoa; Chordata; Actinopteri; Salmoniformes; Salmonidae.